RNAcentral lists this ribosomal RNA (492 nucleotides) under uncultured bacterium. Its description in RNAcentral is "partial 16S ribosomal RNA". It matches the Rfam family "Bacterial small subunit ribosomal RNA", at positions 29 to 507 of the family's 1533-position model. The record is from RNAcentral.
AGUGAACGCUGGCGGUAGGCCUAACACAUGCAAGUCGAACGGCAGCACAGUAAGAGCUUGCUCUUACGGGUGGCGAGUGGCGGACGGGUGAGGAAUACAUCGGAAUCUACUUUUUCGUGGGGGAUAACGUAGAGAAACUUACGCUAAUACCGCAUACGACCUACGGGUGAAAGCAGGGGAUCUUCGGACUUUGCGCGAUUGAAUGAGCCGAUGUCGGAUUAGCUAGUUGGCGGGGUAAAGGCCCACCAAGGCGACGAUCCGUAGCUGGUCUGAGAGGAUGAUCAGCCACACUGGAACUGAGACACGGUACAGACUCCUACGGGAAGCAGCAGUGGGGAAUAUUGGACGAUGGGCGCAAGCCUGAUCCAGCCAUACCGCGUGGAUGAAGAAGGCCUUCGGGUUGUAGAGCCCUUUUGUUGGGAAAGAAAAGCAGCAGGUUAAUACCCCGCUGUUCUGACGGUACCCAAAGAAUAAGCACCGGCUAACUUCGUG